RNAcentral lists this ribosomal RNA (497 nucleotides) under uncultured bacterium. Its description in RNAcentral is "partial 16S ribosomal RNA". It matches the Rfam family "Bacterial small subunit ribosomal RNA", at positions 28 to 507 of the family's 1533-position model. The record is from RNAcentral.
GAUGAACGCUGGCGGCGUGCCUAAUACAUGCAAGUCGAGCGAACGGACGAGAAGCUUGCUUCUCUGAUGUUAGCGGCGGACGGGUGAGUAACACGUGGAUAACCUACCUAUAAGACUGGGAUAACUUCGGGAAACCGUAGCUAAUACCUGAUAAUAUUUUGAACCGCAUGGUUCAAAAGUGAAAGACGGUCUUGCUGUCACUUAUAGAUGGAUCCGCGCUGCAUUAGCUAGUUGGUAAGGUAACGGCUUACCAAGGCAACGAUGCAUAGCCGACCUGAGAGGGUGAUCGGCCACACUGGAACUGAGACACGGUCCAGACUCCUACGGGAGGCAGCAGUAGGGAAUCUUCCGCAAUGGGCGAAAGCCUGACGGAGCAACGCCGCGUGAGUGAUGAAGGUCUUCGGAUCGUAAAACUCUGUUAUUAGGGAAGAACAUAUGUGUAAGUAACUGUGCACAUCCUGACGGUACCUAAUCAGAAAGCCACGGCUAACUACGUG